Molecule: ribosomal RNA, 406 nt
Filed under: uncultured bacterium
Lineage: Bacteria
Description: partial 16S ribosomal RNA
Rfam family: Bacterial small subunit ribosomal RNA
Source: RNAcentral
AUUGAACACUGGCGGCAGGCCUAACACAUGCAAGUCGAACGAGUGGCGGACGGGUGAGUAAUGUCUGGGAAACUGCCCGAUGGAGGGGGCUAACUACUGGAACCGGUAGCUAAUACCGCAUACCAUCGGAUGUGCCCAGAUGGGAUUAGCUAGUGGGGGGGGUAAAGGCCCACCAAGGCGACGCUCCCUAGCUGGUCUGAGAGGAUGACCAGCCACACGGGAACUGAGACACGGUCCAGACUCCUACGGGAGGCAGCAGUAGGGAAUAUUGCACAAUGGGCGCAAGCCUGAUGCAGCCAAGCCGCGUGUAUGAAGAAGGCCUUCGGGUUGUAAAGUACUUUCAGCGGGGAGGCGUUACCCGCAGAAGAAGCACCGGCUAACUCCGUGCCAGCAGCCGCGGUAAUUC